RNAcentral lists this ribosomal RNA (825 nucleotides) under Bacillus sp. 41P2BR. RNAcentral describes it as "bacterial SSU rRNA". It matches the Rfam family "Bacterial small subunit ribosomal RNA", at positions 62 to 869 of the family's 1533-position model. The record is from RNAcentral. Lineage: Bacteria; Bacillati; Bacillota; Bacilli; Caryophanales; Bacillaceae.
UCGAGCGGACAGAAGGGAGCUUGCUCCCGGAUGUUAGCGGCGGACGGGUGAGUAACACGUGGGUAACCUGCCUGUAAGACUGGGAUAACUCCGGGAAACCGGAGCUAAUACCGGAUAGUUCCUUGAACCGCAUGGUUCAAGGAUGAAAGACGGUUUCGGCUGUCACUUACAGAUGGACCCGCGGCGCAUUAGCUAGUUGGUGGGGUAAUGGCUCACCAAGGCGACGAUGCGUAGCCGACCUGAGAGGGUGAUCGGCCACACUGGGACUGAGACACGGCCCAGACUCCUACGGGAGGCAGCAGUAGGGAAUCUUCCGCAAUGGACGAAAGUCUGACGGAGCAACGCCGCGUGAGUGAUGAAGGUUUUCGGAUCGUAAAGCUCUGUUGUUAGGGAAGAACAAGUGCGAGAGUAACUGCUCGCACCUUGACGGUACCUAACCAGAAAGCCACGGCUAACUACGUGCCAGCAGCCGCGGUAAUACGUAGGUGGCAAGCGUUGUCCGGAAUUAUUGGGCGUAAAGGGCUCGCAGGCGGUUUCUUAAGUCUGAUGUGAAAGCCCCCGGCUCAACCGGGGAGGGUCAUUGGAAACUGGGAAACUUGAGUGCAGAAGAGGAGAGUGGAAUUCCACGUGUAGCGGUGAAAUGCGUAGAGAUGUGGAGGAACACCAGUGGCGAAGGCGACUCUCUGGUCUGUAACUGACGCUGAGGAGCGAAAGCGUGGGGAGCGAACAGGAUUAGAUACCCUGGUAGUCCACGCCGUAAACGAUGAGUGCUAAGUGUUAGGGGGUUUCCGCCCCUUAGUGCUGCAGCUAACGCAUUAAGCACUC